Molecule: long non-coding RNA, 8235 nt
Organism: Oncorhynchus keta (chum salmon)
Lineage: Eukaryota; Metazoa; Chordata; Actinopteri; Salmoniformes; Salmonidae
Exons: 2
Source: RefSeq, a predicted model, not a curated record
GAGAACCUCGAGGAUCAACUGAAGAAGGAUAUUGACACCUGCGAGUGUUAUUUCCUCAAGUUUGACAAGUCCACAGAUAUGGUAGAUGUGGCACAGUUAUGCAUUUUCAGCAGAGUGGUAUUUGACAACAUGAGUAUAGAGGAGGAACUACUCGCCAUUUUGCCACUGAAAGGACGGCGAAGAUAUUUUUCAAGCUUUUAUGAAAUUUGCUAACAAAUUCCAACUGCCCUUUUGUAAGCUUGUCUCCAUUACUACCGAUGGGGCACCCGCUAUGGUAGGCUGCAUUAGUGGGUUUGUUGCAUUGUGCAAACGGGAUGAUUCUUUCCCUGACUUUCUUAAUUAUCACUGCGUAAUUCAUCAGCAAGCUUUGUGCGGGAAGAUGUUAAACAUGAAAGAGGUGAUGGAUGUUGCAAUUAAGAUUGUGUGUUGUAGUCAAGCAAGAAGCCUACAGCGGAGGCUAAUUCCCGCUCACUUAGAAGAGACUGAAGUGGAGCACACAGACCUCCUGCUGCACACGGAUGUGCGGUGGCUGAGCAGAGGUACAUUUUUAGGGAGAUUCAGUGAGUUGUUGCCUGAAAUCUAGGAGUUUCUCAAGGUCUCCAAGCAUGUAGAAUAUGCACAGUUAGAGGACACACAGUGGCUCCUGGAUUUAGCUUUUCUCACUCACAUAAUUUACAUGCUUAAUUAAUUGAAUGUAGAGCUACAAGGAAAAGGCAAACAUGUAAUUGACAUGAUCAGCUGUGUGAACACUUUUAAAUGCAAACUACAACUUCUCACAAGAAAGCUGCAACGUAAGGACCUGCACUUCUUUCAACACAUGCAUUCAGAACUUGAACGUCAGCGCAAGGAUACAGCACAGCCUGACAGUGCACAUUGCGUGGCGCAAGUCCAGAGCAUCUUAUCCGAGUUUGACAGUUGUUUCACUGACUUUGCAUCACUUGAGCCUAUUGCCACUUAUAUGUGCUUUCCCUUUGACACAGACAUACAUGUGGAAGUCAUUGCCCCCAAAAUGGGAUCACUUUUUCAGUUGGACACAACCAUAGCAUAAACUGAAAUUCUCACCCUUCAAAAUGACAUCCAGGGCAACCACUGACAUGAAGGAGAGUUCUGGGAGCUACUGCUAUCCCAACAUAAGAAGAUGUGCUCUCAACUUAUCAGCUCCUUUUGGAUCAACCCACAUCUGACAUGAAGAUAAUAAAGUCCAAGUACAGAUCUACUAUGACUGAUGACCACCUUGUGGCCUGCAUGAGACUUGCAACAAGCCGCUACAGCCCUGACUAUGAAAAACGACUUGCCUGCACCAAUGCCAAAAGUCACACUACGGUAGGAAAUUAAAUGAGUUGUACUUAUUUGUGGAAAACAUGUUAUUGGUCCACAUUAUAUUUGGGUAUCAAAUAGGUAUCAUAGCAGCAGGUCCAUACUCAGUGGUGUGUUGCUUUUCAUACGUUUUGUUGGUUGGUUUAGAUUUAGAGACUGGUAGAUCUCAUCAGGCUAGCAAAUGAAAAAGUAGAUCUCACGUCAAAGAAGGUUGGGCACACCCGUCGUAAAGCAACCGCUAGAGUCAGCAGCACACUCUGUUGGCCAAAACCAGCGCAAACCCCACUUACAUAAAUAAAUGAUUAGCUAGAAAUGACAAAGUUGACCAUAUAUCUCACAAUACUUAAGCAUAGCACCAUACACUACAUACAGUAUACAAUACACGGCCCAACAUAGUCAGCACAGCUACCGCAUGCCAUAGGUAUGUCAAAGAAUUGCAUGUAUUACUCUGUUCUUUUAGUUACUGCAAUGACAUUUUUGCAAAAACCUUUUGUAUUUUGUCAGAAGUAGUUUCAUUCAGAAAUGUUAGAGCUUUGAAGAUGCAAUUUGCAAUAUUUACUGUCAUUUUAAUUAACGAUACAGUCCAUUCAGAAAGUAUUCAGACCCCUUGACUUUUUACACAUUUUGUUAUGUUGCAGCCUUAUUGUAAAAUGUAUUAAAUUGUUUUUUCCCCUAAACAAUACACAAAAACCCAUAAAUAUAUCAACCCCUACAAAAAAUUAUAAUUAUAAUUAUAAGCUCCAUAAUAUUUCACAUGUCCUGUUGCUGCAGGAUUAUUUUCCUGCUGUGAGAAACUGGUCAAAUUAAGAUCUGUGCCUGUUGAUUCUUGAAGAAUAUACCUAUAUGCCUCAUGAGCUUUGUACCACUUGUAACCCCCAUCAUAACUAAAUAUUGGGUCAUAUUACUUAAUCGUUUACUCCAUGUUAAGAACAUGUUUAUAUAGUUUCAAAAUAUGCAUGAUACUAUAACAUUGAUCUCAUGGACUAUAAGUCCCUGCAUCCACAGUUCCAGCAAAGAAGAAGAAUACUUUGUCUAUUUUCCUUUCAGAUGAUGAAAAUGUGUCUUUUUCUUUCAAACCCGGCUUGGAAUACUGGGUCAGCCACAGUGCAGCGCCCCUGAAAAUGGCAUUGGGAUAACAAAGCCAGCAACCCUAUCGUUGCCAGCUCACUGCUGUUGAUAGCCCGCCUUUAAACUACUGCAAACAACCCCAAAAUACAUAAGACAACCCCAACUACCCCCUGUCUAUGUGUUUGAUUCAGUUCAGCAGUACUCAAUACACUACCACACUCCAUAUCCUACUCCUACUAUACUCCAGCAAACACACUAAACACUCACAAAAUACACACCCCAACAAACAGUCAACACGGCUACCGACCGCAUGUCAAUAUGUAUGUCAAAGAAUAAAUGCAUUACACGGUAACCUCAAACAACCACAAACUAUCCCUUCCACAAACAGCUACCACAGAUUACCACAAACUCUAUAAACAAUCUCAAAAUACCAAAGUGCCCAAAACACAAACUACCACAAAUAACCUCAAAUAACCCCAAAAUACGCAUAUACUGUAACAUCAACAAACCACCACAAAAUACCAUAAUCUUGGGUAGUUUCUAGUUUGUGCUAUUUCGGGAUUGUUUGUUGUAGUUUGUGGUAUUUUGGGGGGGUUAUUUGUGGUAGUCUUGGGUAAUUCGUAGGAAUGACCUUCCGUCACAAAUGGUCUAUCUUUUAAUGUCACAAAUAGUUCAUUUCAGAUAUACUGGAGCUAAAAUUAAUGUAAUAUAUAAUAAUCUAUGCCAUAGUGCAUCCUGACUUUGCAAGUGCCAUGCUCUACCAACAGCCACACAGGAUCACAUUAAUGUGAUUAUACCAUUAGACAUUGAAUACACCAUCAGACAUUGAAUGCGUGCUCUUUCAGGUGCAUGUGGGAAAAUGCAUGUCAGUAUUGUCAGUAUUAAAUGCAGGAGGACUGUAAACUCCCUCUGCCCAUCUUUCUGUUUACCUACACUCUUCAAAAAAAGGGUCUGUCCCCAUAGGAGAACCCUUUUUGGUUCCAGGUAGAUCCUGCUGUGGAAAAAAAGGUUUUACCUGGAACCAAAGGGUUCUCCUAUGGGGACAGCCAAGGAACACCUUUUGGUUAUAAAUAGCACCUUUUUUCCCGUAAGAGUGUACUGUAUCGACAGUUAGUGUGUAGGGUGGUCUGUGACAGAACAGAUUGCAGUGAUUCAUCUCUGUUGAUUUAAUAUUCAAAGUGAAAUCCCAUAAGGCCCUCUGAUCAAGUCAGUCUGCAGACUGAUGAUUUUGACAACAAGGUUUUUACAGCUCAGUCAGUCGAGAGAGACUGCACUGUAGUACACAUGUACAGUGUCCAUAUUAGAACAGACAAGUCCUAGUGAGAUUGAGGCUGUCCUAAUAUGGACACCUAAUUACAGACCUGACUGACUGACCCCCCAGGUCUAACAAGUUUUUAUUUAACCUUUUAUUUUGACAGGGAGUCAAUGCUGAGACCAAGGUCUCUUUUCCAGAUGAGCCCUGUAUAGCACCACAAUACACAUCAAAAUACAAUAACACAUUGAACUACACAUUCAUAAUCCCCUUGACUUAUUCCACACUUUGCUCUGUUACAGCCUGAAUUCAAAAUGGAUAAAAUGUAUUUUUUAAAUCCCAUCCACACACAAUACCGCAUAAUGACAAAUGUAUUGAAAAUGAAAAACAGAAAGAUCUAAUUUACACAAGUAUUCACACCCAUACAUUACAUUACUUUAUAAAAGCAUUUGCCCAUUAUUAUUUUCAAAAUUCUUCAAGCUAUGUCAAAUUGGUGGUUGAUCAUUGCUAGACAACCAUUUAAGUCUUGCAAUAGAUUUUCAGGUAGAUUUAAUUCUUCUAUCACAGCCAUUAAACUCUGUAACUGUUUUAAAGUGACCAUUGACCUCAUGGUGAAAUCCCAGAAUGGUUACCUUCCUCUACGGCAAAUGAGUUAGGUAGGACGCCUGUAUCUUUAUCGUGACUGGGUGUAUUGAUACACCAUCCAAAGUGUAAUUAAUCUACCAAUGCCUAAAAGAUUUAGAUGCACUAUUGUAAAGUGGCUGUUCCACUGGAUGUCAUAAGGUGAAUGCACCAAUUUGUAAGUCGCUCUGGAUAAGAGCGUCUGCUAAAUGACUUAAAUGUAAUGUAAUGUUUGUGAGGCAUUGGGAAAACCUCCCUGGUCUUUGUGGUUGAAUCUGUGUUUUAAAUUCAGAUAAUUGUAUGUGUGGGGUACAGAGAUGAGGUAAUACACAGAUUCAAAGAGGAGUCCGUAAAGAAGUUCAUGAACUCAAGAAUUCAUCAUUCAUUUCAAUAGUAUAGAAAAUAGAUUUUGGAUUGUUCUUAUUCUCCUCAAUUAAGUUGGAAAAGCAGGCUGAUCAAGCAGCAGAGAGGGAUCUUUGAUAUUCCACUGUACUGUCUUUGCAAGCUAGUCGGAAGACUUCCUGUUUGGCAGAGAAUGCACUCGGAGCAUGAGAGUGUGGAGCAUGGUAGAAUGCAUAUUGUGUCUUGUGGGCUGCUGAACCUCUCUCCAUCCAUGAUUUUGGGCCAGACGCAGGCAAACUGUCAUGUCGACAGAGGCCAAAGACCCAUUCAUGUUCCCCUACAACAUGGUGCAGGAUGCCUCUCCACAUGUUCUACAACAUCGAAAACCAUUUAUCAGUAACCAUUUAUUUACUACACAAUAGCCUGCCAUAUGAUUAAUCACUGUAAUGACAGUGCUGAAAUUACGGUUUUAGCGUGAUUACCAGCCUUUACAAUAUAAAUCAUCCAAUAGUUGGAUUUUCUUAGUGCCACAGUAUUUCACUUAUGUCCCAGCCUUUUUACAGCACCACCAGAAGUGGGUGACUAUGUCCUUACUCUACUGGAGAAGGAUGGAGUACCCUGCCUCCUGCCUUGCCUUUUUUGAGAGAACAUUUUGAGAGGGGGUUGAGAGAAUUAAAUGUACUUGCACACUGCUGAUGAGACUGUUGUACUGAUGAUAUUGUCAGUGUCCCCAAUAGUCAUUUGCAUACAAGUAAAACUUUUUUUUGCUAUUAUUAGUUUGAAUUCAUGCCCUCUUACCUGACCGAUACAGUCUAGCUUGAAGCAAUGCCAAUGCUAGACAGAACAUGCACUUCGAAUGCUCCAUCUUUGGCAUGAGUGGAUGUGGGAUGGACCUCAUAGUCCCUUCUGGUAUCUGAGGAUAUGUUACAAGAAGGAUGAGGAUAUGUGAUAUGUUACUAUGAGGAUUAUAUGAGGAUAUAAUAUGAAAGAUAUUGCUGUGCAUUACAACAACAUAUUAUCCCAAUUACAGACACUAUUUGGCAAACUAUCCUAACCUUGCAAAUUGGUUAAUUAAUGUUUACUAGCUAGCCAGGCUGGGUAGUAAUGUCACACAUCACACAAACGGUAACAAAUUGACAGUUGGUGUCGAAAGCUGCCGUGUCAUUGUAGCUAGCUAGCUACUGUAGCAAAGAAUAACAGAGCAGAGCAUGUCCCUGUGUACUGGUAGCUAGUAACAACUUUGUAGCCAUUUUACAACUAGCUACUUUGUUUCAAGAGUGUCACUGUUAGAAGUAGACGUUACUUAAAUAGUUUGCUUAAUUCGGUUAUUUUGCCGGCUAGUCAUUGACGAACACAUCAUCAGCUUACAUUAGCUUCAAGGAAGAAAGUGGUUGUAUCUGUGAUGUUCCUUUUCUAAAUAUGUCUAGCAUACUUUUACAAUCUUUUUUAUUCUGAAAAAUUCCAGUUAUGAUAGAAAUACAUUAAAACCUAUAAGAUGCCAUUUUAAGGGGUAUAAAUCAAUAACUAAUUCACCUUUUGUCACAGAAACAUCAAACUAGGUAUGAUUUAUUAUAUAAAUGUCUAGUAUACUUCUACAACCUUUUCUUUGAGUAGAAAUUCCAGUUUUGAUUUGAUAGAAAUGCAUAGAACCUCAAAUAUUGCAUUUAAAGAUGAAGAAAUCAAUAACCAAUUCAGUGAUUGUAGCAGAAAAAAGUGAAAAUAUGCAUUUAUUUGCAAUAACAUGAAAGAAAUGUUCAUUUCAAGUGCAAUUUCUUCUAAAUUUAGUUAGACUCUGUUUACAUAAAGUUGUACAAUAUUUACAAUCUUAAAUUGUAUGCCAAAUCAAUGUUUGCAUUUUUAGUGCAACGGUUCCACAUUUUAAUUUAGUUACAAGGCACAACAGUCAUUUAUUUGUACAUCUCUAAUUUAACAGCAAAGAGGCCACUUGCAAUCAUUUUCUAUUUUGGCUUUGUUGAAGUCCUUCUUUGUCAUCCCCAGGCAAGCUGAAUGGGAUCUCCUGAGGUAAUAGAUUCAACUGUUCAACACUUACAGCCAAACACAUUCUGGAAAAGUCUAUAGAUUCAGUGUUCACUUUAUUAGGUACAAACUCCGUUGCAUCUGGAACAGCGUGAAUUCAAAAGUGUUGAUGAACCUGGGAAAGGAGAUAGUGUUCAAGUUAAGUCCAGUUGGAGUUUAUUACAGUCAGUUCACGUUUUGGAACUUUUCUGAGUUACAAAAUACAAUCACAGACUGUGCUGUCAUUUUGGACAAUAUAAAGUUCAAACAAACAGUAACAGAAUACAUUAAUACUUCUCUGCAUGCUUUAGUGUCUAGCAAGCCAUGACCACGGGACUUGGUGUAUGUAGGAGCAAUUUAUUUUUGUGAAUAGGGUGGUGAACCUAAUAAAGUGGCAAAUGAGUGUAGAUAUCACAAACAACUCCUUUUAAGCAGUGUCUGUCUGUUAUACGUUUGAUCAAUAGGUAUAAUGGUCAAUCUGAUCCCCAAGGUCCUCAUAGGCUCACUUGGAUAUAUAGAGUUGGAGGUAAAGAAAAAAUAUGAAACUUGGACAUUAAAACACUGGCAGAAUUAUUUGAAAAAACUCUGUAAACACUAGUCUCUUACUGGGCAAGAUGAACAAGGCAUCCGUAGGUCACAAUCAAUAAGCACAUUACCUUAAUGCCCAGAAAAAAAACACAAAGAAAAGCUCAUCCAACCCUUAAGUCACAGGGGGGUAAAAUGCAGACUUAUUUUUGUUUUAAUAGGAAUGCCAUCAGAGGAUGGACUGUUUAAAGGUGUAAAGUAAGACCAGAAUGGAGCCCAAGCCUCAUUAAACAGUUUGGGGUUCCCACGUUAAUUGAAAUUUUUCUAGUUUCAGAGAGCACAAUAUAACUCAAUAUUUAUAAGAUGGGGGAUCUGCCAUCUUCCAGUUCUGUAGUAUUAGCCGUCUAGCUAAAAGAAUUGUAUAAGCAACAGUGUCCGACUGGAUUCUUGACAGGGGGGUACCUAUGGGCAGUACUCCAAAAAGGGCUAAAUAUUAAUUCCCAGAAACCUGACAGUUUAUGACAGCCCCAAAACAUAUGCAAACAGUGUGGCUAAUUCGAUUUUACAUCUGACACAGGUAGGAUCAAAAUCAGAGAAUAUUCUUCCAAGUUUGGCCCCGGACCAGUGGAUACGGUGAACCACCUUGAGGCAGAAUUAUUUCAUCCACAUCCAUUCACAUAAAAUAUAAAUGUCACGAAUCCCGCUUCCUGAGUCUGUGUUUGCCUGUGUUUCUGUCCUGGAGUGUGUUUCCGGUGUCCUGGAACGCACCCGGUCUGGUUGCCGGGCGAAUUAGCUUGUUGGGAGAUCGAUGUUCACCCGCACCUGUAUCCCAUCAGUAAUCUGCACACCUGUCCUGAUCAUCACCUCUCCCCUUCAAAAGCUCUGACCUGACAUCCGUUCCCUGCCGGAUCGUUAGCCAUGAACAUUACUCACCCGGAUCAUUUACCCCAUUCCUGCCUGGUCGUCGGAGGAUUCCGCUACCCCAUUGGAUCCACCUAUUUACUCCCAUCAACUCACCACCGCUGCCCGCUACGCCACCUGGAUAUACCUACCCAUUCACAUUCACUUGUAAAUAAAUACUCACCUUCUUCCUA